RNAcentral lists this small RNA (745 nucleotides) under Pan troglodytes (chimpanzee). Its description in RNAcentral is "retained intron". Lineage: Eukaryota; Metazoa; Chordata; Mammalia; Primates; Hominidae. The record is from RNAcentral.
AUGUGAUUGGUGCCCUCUGGCACCCUGACUCCUGUGAAGCUGUGAAUCCUACUCGAUUCCGAGCUGUCUUCCAGAAAUAUGUUCCCUCCUUCUCUGGAUACAGCCAGCAGGAUGCCCAAGAGUUCCUGAAGCUCCUCAUGGAGCGGCUACACCUUGAAAUCAACCGCCGAGGCCGCCGGGCUCCACCAAUACUUGCCAAUGGUCCAGUUCCCUCUCCACCCCGCCGAGGAGGGGCUCUGCUAGAAGAACCUGAGUUAAGUGAUGAUGACCGAGCCAACCUAAUGUGGAAACGUUACCUGGAGCGAGAGGACAGCAAGAUUGUGGACCUGUUUGUGGGCCAGUUGAAAAGUUGUCUCAAGUGCCAGGCCUAAAGGAUUUGCUGGGGGCAAGGUGUCUCUGCGGGAUUGUUUCAACCUUUUCACUAAGGAAGAAGAGCUAGAGUCGGAGAAUGCCCCAGUGUGUGACCGAUGUCGGCAGAAAACUCGAAGUACCAAAAAGUUGACAGUACAAAGAUUCCCUCGAAUCCUCGUGCUCCAUAUCCUAAUCUUCAGAUUCUUACUUCUCUUAGGAUACCUCCCAUACAUUCUCUUUCCUCCAUGUUUCCAGAGAAUUGAAUUUUCCUUAGGAAAAGUCUGCCACCCACUUUUCCACAAGAUGCUCCCAGUGUGUCGGGAGUGGGGAGAGGACAGCUUUCAGGAUAGAAGAAGUUCCCCUCAGAGGCCCACUGCCUCCCAAAUGCUCCUUA